RNAcentral lists this ribosomal RNA (497 nucleotides) under uncultured bacterium. RNAcentral's name for it is "partial 16S ribosomal RNA". It matches the Rfam family "Bacterial small subunit ribosomal RNA", at positions 28 to 507 of the family's 1533-position model. The record is from RNAcentral.
GAUGAACGCUGGCGGCGUGCCUAAUACAUGCAAGUCGAGCGAACAGACGAGGAGCUUGCUCCUCUGACGUUAGCGGCGGACGGGUGAGUAACACGUGGAUAACCUACCUAUAAGGCUGGGAUAACUUCGGGAAACCGGAGCUAAUACCGGAUAAUAUAUUGAACCGCAUGGUUCAAUAGUGAAAGACGGUUUUGCUGUCACUUAUAGAUGGAUCCGCGCCGCAUUAGCUAGUUGGUAAGGUAACGGCUUACCAAGGCAACGAUGCGUAGCCGACCUGAGAGGGUGAUCGGCCACACUGGAACUGAGGCACGGUCCAGACUCCUACGGGAGGCAGCAGUAGGGAAUCUUCCGCAAUGGGCGAAAGCCUGACGGAGCAACGCCGCGUGAGUGAUGAAGGUCUUCGGAUCGUAAAACUCUGUUAUUAGGGAAGAACAAAUGUGUAAGUAACUAUGCACGUCUUGACGGUACCUAAUCAGAAAGCCACGGCUAACUACGUG